Gossypium raimondii (Peruvian cotton) is the source of this 141-nucleotide non-coding RNA. The record is from Rfam. NCBI's taxonomy places the organism in Eukaryota, Viridiplantae, Streptophyta, Magnoliopsida, Malvales, Malvaceae.
CAUUAAAACUUUCAUCCAAUUCUACUGUUAAAAACCAGCAUGAUUGACGAAAUAACCAGAUAACACGUGACAUGUCACGUGUGCCUCAUUCUGAGUAUAGUGACUAGUUUUUAAUAGUAGAAAUGGAGAGAUUUUUUAACA